CGUUCCCGGGCCUUGUACACACCGCCCGUCACACCAUGGGAGUUGGUUUUACCCGAAGACGGUGCGCCAACCGUAAGGAGGCAGCCGGCCACGGUAAGGUCAGCGACUGGGGUG
Molecule: ribosomal RNA, 114 nt
Filed under: uncultured bacterium
Lineage: Bacteria
Description: partial 16S ribosomal RNA
Rfam family: Bacterial small subunit ribosomal RNA
Source: RNAcentral